RNAcentral lists this ribosomal RNA (230 nucleotides) under uncultured bacterium. RNAcentral's name for it is "partial 16S ribosomal RNA". It matches the Rfam family "Bacterial small subunit ribosomal RNA", at positions 15 to 240 of the family's 1533-position model. The record is from RNAcentral.
GAUCAUGGCUCAGGAUGAACGCUAGCGACAGGCUUAACACAUGCAAGUCGAGGGGCAUCAUGAGGUAGCAAUACCUUGAUGGCGACCGGCGCACGGGUGAGUAACGCGUAUGCAACCUGCCUGAUACCGGGGUAUAGCCCAUGGAAACGUGGAUUAACACCCCCAUAGUACUUUUAUCCUGCAUGGGAUGUGAGUUAAAUGUUCAAGGUAUCGGAUGGGCAUGCGUCCUA